CAUCAGGGUUAAAAGGUCUGUUGUGCAUAGGUAGAGUGUAUGGAUGAGGUGAAACAAAACACCCAACAGAAUCAGAGAGAGAAAAAAGGAGGGACAACAAAAGAUUGUCAGGUAUGUCUGGGUCGAAUGCAAGGUGGAGUCAGGUAUGUCUGGGUGGAGUGCAAGGUGGAGUCAGGUAGGUCUGGGUGGAUCGCAAGGCGGAGUCAGGUAGGUCUGGGUGGAGUGCAAGGUGGAGUCAGGUAUGUCUGGGUGGAGUGCAAGGCGGAGUCAGGUGGGUCUGGGUGGAGUGCAAGGUGGAGUCAGGUAGGUCUGGGUGGAGUCAGGUAGGUCUGGGUGGAGUCAGGUAGGUCUGGGUGGAGUCAGGUAGGUCUGGGUGGAGUCUGGUAGAUCUGGGUUGAGUGCAAGGUGGAGUCAGGUAGGUCUGGGUGGAGUCAGGUAGGUCUGGGUGGAGUGCAAGGUGGAGUCAGGUAGGUCUGGGUGGAGUCUGGUAGGUCUGGUUAGAGUCUGGUAGGUCUGGGUGGAGUCAGGUAGGUCUGGGUGGACUCUUGGCUAUGCAAGGUGGAGUCUGGUAGGUCUGGGUGGAGUCUGGUAGGUCUGGUUAGAGUCUGGUAGGUCUGGGUGGAGUCUGGUAGGUCUUGGUGGAGUCUGGUAGGUCUGGGUGGAGUCAGGUAGGUCUGGGUGGACUCUUGGCUAUGCAAGGUGGAGUCUGGUUGGUCUGGGUGGAGUCAGGUAGGUCUGGGUGGAGUCUGGUAGGUCUUAGGGGAGUCUGGUAGGUCUGGGUGGAGUCUGGGCUAUGCAAGGUGGAGUCAGGUAGGUCUGGGUGGAGUCAGGUAGGUCUAGGUGGAGUCAGGUAGGUCUGGGUGGAGUCUGGUAGGUCUGGGUGGAGUCAGGUAGGUCUGGGUGGAGUCUGGUAGGUCUGGUUGGAGUCUGGUAGGUCUGGGUGGAGUCAGGUUGGUCUGGGUGGAGUCAGGUAGGUCUAGGUGGAGUCUGGUAGGUCUGGGUGGAGUCUGGUAGGUCUGGGUUGAGUCAGGUUGGUCUUGGUGGAGUCUGGUAGGUCUAGGUGGAGUCAGGUAGGUCUGGUGGAGUCUGGUAGGUCUGGGUGGAGUCAGGUAAGUCUGGGUGGAGUCAGGUUGGUCUGGGUGGAGUCUGGUAGGUCUUGGUGGAGUCUGGUAGUUCUGGGUGGAGUCUGGUAGUUCUGGGUGGAGUCAGGUAGGUCUGGGUGGAGUCUGGUAGGUCUGGGUGGAGUCUGGUAGGUCUGGGUGGAGUCAGGUAGGUCUGGGUGGAGUCUGGUAGGUCUUGGUGGAUUCUGGUAGGUCUGGGUGGAGUCUGGGCUAUGCAAGGUGGAGUCAGGUAGGUCUUGGUGGAGUCAGGUAGGUCUGGGUGGAGUCUGGUAGGUCUGGGUGGAGUCAGGUAGGUCUAGGUGGAGUCUGGUAGGUCUGGUUGGAGUCUGGUAGGUCGGUGGAGGGCAAGGUGGAGUCAGGUAGGUCUGGGUGGAGUCUGGUAGGUCUGGUAGGUCUGGGUGGUGUCAGGUUGGUCUGGGUGGAGUCAGGUGGGUCUAGGUGGAGUCUGGUAGGUCUGGGUGGAGUCUGGUAGGUCUGGGUUGAGUCAGGUUGGUCUGGGUGGAGUCUGGGUGGUCUAGGUGGAGUCAGGUCAGGUAGGUCCGGGUGGAGUCAGGUAGGUCUGGGUGGAGUCUGGUAGGUCUGGGUGGAGUCUGGUAGGUCUGGUUAGAGUCUGGUAGGUCUGGGUGGAGUCAGGUAGGUCUGGUAGGUCUGGGUGGAGUCAGGUAGGUCUGGGUGCAGUCAGGUAGGUUUGGUUGGAGUCUGGUAGGUCUGGGUGGAGUCAGGUAGGUCUGGGUGGACUCUUGGCUAUGCAAGGUGGAGUCUGGUAGGUCUGGGUGGAGUCUGGUAGGUCUGGGUGGAGUCAGGUAGGUCUGGGUGGAGUCUGGUAGGUCUGGGUGGAGUCAGGUAGGUCUGGGUGGAGUAUGGUAGGUCUGGGUGGAGUCAGGUAGGUCUGGUUAGAGUCUGGUAGGUCUGGGUGGAGUCUGGUAGGUCUUGGUGGAGUCUGGUAGGUCUGGGUGGAGUCAGGUAGGUCUGGGUGGACUCUUGGCUAUGCAAGGUGGAGUCUGGUUGGUCUGGGUGGAGUCAGGUAGGUCUGGGUGGAGUCUGGUAGGUCUUAGGGGAGUCUGGUAGGUCUGGGUGGAGUCUGGGCUAUGCAAGGUGGAGUCAGGUAGGUCUGGGUGGAGUCAGGUAGGUCUAGGUGGAGUCAGGUAGGUCUGGGUGGAGUCUGGUAGGUCUGGGUGGAGUCAGGUAGGUCUGGGUGGAGUCUGGUAGGUCUGGUUGGAGUCUGGUAGGUCUGGGUGGAGUCAGGUUGGUCUGGGUGGAGUCAGGUAGGUCUAGGUGGAGUCUGGUAGGUCUGGGUGGAGUCUGGUAGGUCUGGGUUGAGUCAGGUUGGUCUUGGUGGAGUCUGGUAGGUCUAGGUGGAGUCAGGUAGGUCUGGUGGAGUCUGGUAGGUCUGGGUGGAGUCAGGUAAGUCUGGGUGGAGUCAGGUUGGUCUGGGUGGAGUCUGGUAGGUCUUGGUGGAGUCUGGUAGUUCUGGGUGGAGUCUGGUAGUUCUGGGUGGAGUCAGGUAGGUCUGGGUGGAGUCUGGUAGGUCUGGGUGGAGUCUGGUAGGUCUGGGUGGAGUCAGGUAGGUCUGGGUGGAGUCUGGUAGGUCUUGGUGGAUUCUGGUAGGUCUGGGUGGAGUCUGGGCUAUGCAAGGUGGAGUCAGGUAGGUCUUGGUGGAGUCAGGUAGGUCUGGGUGGAGUCUGGUAGGUCUGGGUGGAGUCAGGUAGGUCUAGGUGGAGUCUGGUAGGUCUGGUUGGAGUCUGGUAGGUCGGUGGAGGGCAAGGUGGAGUCAGGUAGGUCUGGGUGGAGUCUGGUAGGUCUGGUAGGUCUGGGUGGUGUCAGGUUGGUCUGGGUGGAGUCAGGUGGGUCUAGGUGGAGUCUGGUAGGUCUGGGUGGAGUCUGGUAGGUCUGGGUUGAGUCAGGUUGGUCUGGGUGGAGUCUGGGUGGUCUAGGUGGAGUCAGGUCAGGUAGGUCCGGGUGGAGUCAGGUAGGUCUGGGUGGAGUCUGGUAGGUCUGGGUGGAGUCUGGUAGGUCUGGUUAGAGUCUGGUAGGUCUGGGUGGAGUCAGGUAGGUCUGGUAGGUCUGGGUGGAGUCAGGUAGGUCUGGGUGCAGUCAGGUAGGUUUGGUUGGAGUCUGGUAGGUCUGGGUGGAGUCAGGUAGGUCUGGGUGGACUCUUGGCUAUGCAAGGUGGAGUCUGGUAGGUCUGGGUGGAGUCUGGUAGGUCUGGGUGGAGUCAGGUAGGUCUGGGUGGAGUCUGGUAGGUCUGGGUGGAGUCAGGUAGGUCUGGUUAGAGUCUGGUAGGUCUGGGUGGAGUCUGGUAGGUCUGGGUGGAGUCUGGGCUAUGCAAGGUGGAGUCAGGUAGGUCUUGGUGGAGUCAGGUAGGUCUGGGUGGAGUCUGGUAGGUCUGGGUGGAGUCAGGUAGGUCUAGGUGGAGUCUGGUAGGUCUGGUUGGAGUCUGGUAGGUCUGGGUGGAGUCUGGUAGGUCUGGGUGGAGUCUGGUAGGUCUGGGUUGAGUCAGGUUGGUCUGGGUGGAGUCUGGGUGGUCUAGGUGGAGUCAGGUCAGGUAGGUCCGGGUGGAGUCAGGUAGGUCUGGGUGGAGUCUGGUAGGUCUGGGUGGAGUCUGGUAGGUCUGGUUAGAGUCUGGUAGGUCUGGGUGGAGUCAGGUAGGUCUGGUAGGUCUGGGUGGAGUCAGGUAGGUCUGGGUGCAGUCAGGUAGGUUUGGUUGGAGUCUGGUAGGUCUGGGUGGAGUCAGGUAGGUCUGGGUGGACUCUUGGCUAUGCAAGGUGGAGUCUGGUAGGUCUGGGUGGAGUCUGGUAGGUCUGGGUGGAGUCAGGUAGGUCUGGGUGGAGUCUGGUAGGUCUGGGUGGAGUCAGGUAGGUCUGGGUGGAGUAUGGUAGGUCUGGGUGGAGUCAGGUAGGUCUGGUUAGAGUCUGGUAGGUCUGGGUGGAGUCUGGUAGGUCUUGGUGGAGUCUGGUAGGUCUGGGUGGAGUCAGGUAGGUCUGGGUGGACUCUUGGCUAUGCAAGGUGGAGUCUGGUUGGUCUGGGUGGAGUCAGGUAGGUCUGGGUGGAGUCUGGUAGGUCUUAGGGGAGUCUGGUAGGUCUGGGUGGAGUCUGGGCUAUGCAAGGUGGAGUCAGGUAGGUCUGGGUGGAGUCAGGUAGGUCUAGGUGGAGUCAGGUAGGUCUGGGUGGAGUCUGGUAGGUCUGGGUGGAGUCAGGUAGGUCUGGGUGGAGUCUGGUAGGUCUGGUUGGAGUCUGGUAGGUCUGGGUGGAGUCAGGUUGGUCUGGGUGGAGUCAGGUAGGUCUAGGUGGAGUCUGGUAGGUCUGGGUGGAGUCUGGUAGGUCUGGGUUGAGUCAGGUUGGUCUUGGUGGAGUCUGGUAGGUCUAGGUGGAGUCAGGUAGGUCUGGUGGAGUCUGGUAGGUCUGGGUGGAGUCAGGUAAGUCUGGGUGGAGUCAGGUUGGUCUGGGUGGAGUCUGGUAGGUCUUGGUGGAGUCUGGUAGUUCUGGGUGGAGUCUGGUAGUUCUGGGUGGAGUCAGGUAGGUCUGGGUGGAGUCUGGUAGGUCUGGGUGGAGUCUGGUAGGUCUGGGUGGAGUCAGGUAGGUCUGGGUGGAGUCUGGUAGGUCUUGGUGGAUUCUGGUAGGUCUGGGUGGAGUCUGGGCUAUGCAAGGUGGAGUCAGGUAGGUCUUGGUGGAGUCAGGUAGGUCUGGGUGGAGUCUGGUAGGUCUGGGUGGAGUCAGGUAGGUCUAGGUGGAGUCUGGUAGGUCUGGUUGGAGUCUGGUAGGUCUGGGUGGAGUCUGGUAGGUCUGGGUGGAGUCUGGUAGGUCUGGGUUGAGUCAGGUUGGUCUGGGUGGAGUCUGGGUGGUCUAGGUGGAGUCAGGUCAGGUAGGUCCGGGUGGAGUCAGGUAGGUCUGGGUGGAGUCUGGUAGGUCUGGGUGGAGUCUGGUAGGUCUGGUUAGAGUCUGGUAGGUCUGGGUGGAGUCAGGUAGGUCUGGUAGGUCUGGGUGGAGUCAGGUAGGUCUGGGUGCAGUCAGGUAGGUUUGGUUGGAGUCUGGUAGGUCUGGGUGGAGUCAGGUAGGUCUGGGUGGACUCUUGGCUAUGCAAGGUGGAGUCUGGUAGGUCUGGGUGGAGUCUGGUAGGUCUGGGUGGAGUCAGGUAGGUCUGGGUGGAGUCUGGUAGGUCUGGGUGGAGUCAGGUAGGUCUGGUUAGAGUCAGGUAGGUCUGGUAGGUCUGGUAGGUCUGGGUGGAGUCUGGUAGGUCUGGGUGGACUCUUGGCUAUGCAAGGUGGAGUCUGGUAGGUCUGGGUGGAGUCUGGUAGGUCUGGGUGGAGUCAGGUAGGUCUGGGUGGAGUCUGGUAGGUCUGGGUGGAGUCAGGUAGGUCUGGGUGGAGUCUGGUAGGUCUGGGUGGAGUCUGGGCUAUGCAAGGUGUAGAGGUCCGUGACAAAUCAUAGUGGUACACCUGUAUUUCACACAAGGCAUGAUUUGUUCUUUACACUGAAUACCAUAUUUCACACACAAAUUUGGAUUGGUUUGACAUCAUUCACAUAUAUGCAAAUUGUGGAAUUCUUUGAAUGUAU
This is a long non-coding RNA of Haliotis rufescens (red abalone), 5675 nucleotides long. RefSeq lists it as uncharacterized. The transcript is spliced from 5 exons. NCBI's taxonomy places the organism in Eukaryota, Metazoa, Mollusca, Gastropoda, Lepetellida, Haliotidae. The record is from RefSeq and is a predicted model, not a curated record.